UACGUAGGGAGCAAGCGUUGUUCGGAAUUAUUGGGCGUAAAGAGCGCGUAGGCGGCUUGGUAAGUCUGAUGUGAAAUCCCGGAGCUUAACUCCGGAACUGCAUUGGAAACUGCCAGGCUUGAGUGUGGGAGAGGAGAGUGGAAUUCCCAGUGUAGAGGUGAAAUUCGUAGAUAUUGGGAGGAACACCGGUGGCGAAGGCGGCUCUCUGGACCACAACUGACGCUGAGGCGCGAAAGCUAGGGGAGCAAACGGG
Molecule: ribosomal RNA, 253 nt
Filed under: uncultured bacterium
Lineage: Bacteria
Description: partial 16S ribosomal RNA
Rfam family: Bacterial small subunit ribosomal RNA
Source: RNAcentral